RNAcentral lists this ribosomal RNA (433 nucleotides) under uncultured bacterium. RNAcentral's name for it is "partial 16S ribosomal RNA". It matches the Rfam family "Bacterial small subunit ribosomal RNA", at positions 29 to 507 of the family's 1533-position model. The record is from RNAcentral.
AACGAACGCUGGCGGCAUGCCUAACACAUGCAAGUCGAACGAGACCUUCGGGUCUAGUGGCGCACGGGUGCGUAACGCGUGGGAACCUGCCCUUAGGUUCGGAAUAACUCCCCGAAAGGGGUGCUAAUACCGGAUAAUGUCUUCGGGCCAAAGAUUUAUCGCCUUUGGAUGGGCCCGCGUUGGAUUAGCUAGUUGGUAGGGUAAAAGCCUACCAGGGCGACGAUCCAUAGCUGGUCUGAGAGGAUGAUCAGCCACACUGGGACUGAGACACGGCCCAGACUCCUACGGGAGGCAGCAGUGGGGAAUAUUGGACAAUGGGCGAAAGCCUGAUCCAGCAAUGCCGCGUGAGUGAUGAAGGCCUUAGGGUUGUAAAGCUCUUUUACCCGGGAUGAUAAUGACAGUACCGGGAGAAUAAGCUCCGGCUAACUCCGUG